This 112-nucleotide small RNA is filed under the name Afipia carboxidovorans OM5. Its description in RNAcentral is "Oligotropha carboxidovorans OM5 Rhizobiales sRNA Atu_At1". It matches the Rfam family "Rhizobiales sRNA Atu_At1". The record is from Rfam by way of RNAcentral. Lineage: Bacteria; Pseudomonadati; Pseudomonadota; Alphaproteobacteria; Hyphomicrobiales; Nitrobacteraceae.
UCACGCCGAGUGACAACCGGCCGUAACAGGGACGAUGGACGCGGCUAUUUUGCCGGCUUCUGGUCGCGACAUCAACGCAUCGGUACGCGCUGACAUCUAACCUGUUCUUGGC